AUGAAGAACUUGAAAGACGCUAAGACAACUAUUCAUCCCUCAACUACGAGGGGAGGUAAGGAACUACCAUCUAGCUUUGCACUUGAUUCACCUUCUAUUAUAAACAAGCUAGCGACACCUAAACCUGCUUCUGCUAUUCGUUCCAAUAUGUCGCAUAUUAUUGAUGAUGCCACUUCUGCUAUGCAUGAUACUUAUGAUAAAACUACUUCUAUGCUUGAUACUACUGUGCCUCUUGGUGAAUUUCUAUAUGAACAAAUUUCUAAGUCUAGAGAAAGAGAAAUUAUUGAAACUGAACACGACGAUGUUAGUGAUGAUGAAAAUAGGCCUGCUAUUCCUAAGGGUUACCUUUUUAAUGCUGAAUCUACUGAAGCUAUUCUUGCUUGCCAGGAUAGUCUUGAACGUAAUAGGUUGCUAGUUAAAUGGAGUAAAGAAUCUUUUAGAGGUAGGAUGAGACCCGACCUUGCUUUUGCUACUUUACCUAUCUGUGUUUCUGAUCAGGAUUAUUAUGAUUUUUCUGGUGAUCCAGAUAUAAUUACUUUGGUUGAAUCUGAUCCUUUUUAUGGCUAUGAAUCUGAAACUGUUGUGGCACAUCUUCGUAAGUUAGAUGAUAUAGCUGCCCUGUUUACUAAUAAUGAGAGAUCGCGCUACCUUUAUUUACUCAAAAUAUUUUUGUUCUCAUUAAAGGGUGAUGCUAAGAUAUGGUUUAAUUCUUUUGAUCCUGGUUGUGUGCAAAGUCCCUAG
This 741-nucleotide ribosomal RNA is filed under the name Triticum aestivum (bread wheat). RNAcentral describes it as "partial small subunit ribosomal RNA". Lineage: Eukaryota; Viridiplantae; Streptophyta; Magnoliopsida; Poales; Poaceae. The record is from RNAcentral.